RNAcentral lists this ribosomal RNA (484 nucleotides) under uncultured bacterium. Its description in RNAcentral is "partial 16S ribosomal RNA". It matches the Rfam family "Bacterial small subunit ribosomal RNA", at positions 29 to 507 of the family's 1533-position model. The record is from RNAcentral.
AUUGAACGCUGGCGGCAUGCUUUACACAUGCAAGUCGAACGGCAGCGCGGGCUUCGGCCUGGCGGCGAGUGGCGAACGGGUGAGUAAUGCAUCGGAACGUGCCCAGUAGUGGGGGAUAGCCCGGCGAAAGCCGGAUUAAUACCGCAUACGACCUGAGGGUGAAAGCGGGGGACCGAAAGGCCUCGCGCUAUUGGAGCGGCCGAUGUCGGAUUAGCUAGUUGGUGGGGUAAAGGCUUACCAAGGCGACGAUCCGUAGCUGGUCUGAGAGGACGACCAGCCACACUGGGACUGAGACACGGCCCAGACUCCUACGGGAGGCAGCAAUGGGGAAUUUUGGACAAUGGGGGCAACCCUGAUCCAGCCAUGCCGCGUGCGGGAAGAAGGCCUUCGGGUUGUAAAACGCUUUUGUUCGGGAAGAAAUCCUCUGGGCUAAUACCCCGGGGGGAUGACGGUACCGGAAGAAUAAGCACCGGCUAACUACGUG